RNAcentral lists this long non-coding RNA (7807 nucleotides) under Equus asinus (donkey). RNAcentral's name for it is "lncRNA (ENSEASG00005025233.1)". The record is from RNAcentral. Lineage: Eukaryota; Metazoa; Chordata; Mammalia; Perissodactyla; Equidae.
GCGAAAACGAAAGUGCUGGAAGGGUCACGGGCUUCCCAGAGUCCUGGCCCAUUAACAGCUGAAGGCCCAGGCCAGGGUCCCCUGCAUCUGAUAAGCCCAAGCUGGCCUCGGCCUGCCUGGACUGCCGGAGAGCCCGGGGUCUUCUGGGAGAGCCCCAACCCGGGCAGGGGAGUGCAGGCAAGCAAACCGAGCUGGUGACUGCCGGAGUUCACAUACAUUUAUUCAAUUGACACCAACGAGGAGUGGGGGGAGACAUUUUUCUUUUCUUCCACACAAACCAUCAGACGAUUUCGGAGUCUCCCCACAGUAGAGAAGUCUAAAUCAAUGCACACCCAGUGGACAGAGAACGCAGAUAGCAGCCCGCUGUACAGAUAUUUACAAAUAAUUACAGGACCCCCUGCCACAGGAUGUGCCCUCACCCACCCCACCCCCACCUCUCCAGCCCCUGACCCAGACCUCCUCUCCCACCCAAACCUCAUUGCUUUUAGCUACAAUAAAUAUCCCAGGGCCUGGGACAGAGCAGAGCACUAAGAGGACUGCUGGCCCUGGGUGGCUGGACCCAGCCGGCCACGGGAAAGGGGAAAAGUUCCUUCAAAAGCACCCCAACACAAAAGAGGGAGGAUGUUUCUCGGCGGGGUGGGACUCCGCAUGGAUUGUGGAGACCCCUCGCUUCACCUCUUCGUUCAGCUUCGCCUGUGUAGACACUCCUUUAUAGGCUUCAGAGAGAAGGAACCUCCUUGGAGAACAGCAAGGAAAAAAAGUUGAAUUCUUCUUUUGAGCACAAAGCGGAUAAUAGAUGUCUUUAAAUUAUAAUAUUGGACAAGCAGGGCCUCAAAGCCGAGGAAGGAGUGAGCGGGAUGCAGAAAGAGAGACCCCUCUGCGCAGUUGGUGCUUCUGGCGGGACCCGCGGGGCCUGGGCAGGCUUCUCUCCAGGACAGCAAUUCUUCCGGGGCUGCCGGGAGAAAGCGAAGACUCCCCCCGCCCCCGUUAUACUGCUCAAAUUGGAACCGGAUCGUGGCUUGCGAACUCGUCGCGUAGACCCGGGCCUCUCCCUGAGCGAUGGAGCCCGCUUCGUCCCAACUGUCGGCGAGAUUCUGAGCGUGGAGCCUGAAGUGCCAAGUCACGCGCGCCGGCCCAAGGUCUGGCGACUCUUCAUAAAUAGACUCCCUGAGUUCCUCUGGGACCGCAGGAGCUCCCGGGAGAGGCUUAGGAGUGCGGGCCUAACUGGCCCUGAGCCGACGCGGUCAGAAGUGGCAGCCACUGAGACCGGCGACUUUGCCGGCAAACGGAGGCCCUGAGGACAGGAGCGCGUCCCCGGGGUGCGAGAGGCGGAUGUGGCCGGCCACUGGAGCCAGGGCUGGGGCAGUCAGCAUGGCCAAGACCUGGGCUUGACCGCCAGGACCCGCCGCCGCCGCGAACGGCGAUCCCGGGGAGCCCUCGCCUCCGCCCGGGGGUGCUGCCCCGCCGCCGCCGUGGCCCAUGAUGUGGUCUAUGGAGAAGGAAGGCCUCUGGCCGGCCCCGGCGCCCCCGCCGCCCGCACCACCGCCCGCGUCCGUCUUGAGGCCCUGGCGCAGGAGUGCGGUGGACAGACCAGCCGCGGUGCCGGCUGCGGGAGGGCUCAGCGACGCGGGGUAGAAGGCUUUGGCGCAGCCCAGCUCCGCGCCCAGGAAGGCGGGCAGGCCUGCGGGGCCCGGGCCCGACCCUGUGCCCGGGGCAGGCGCAGGGGCCGGAGCCGAGGCUGCGCCUGCGAACACCGAGGCCGUCGGAGGUCCGGGUGGAGGCGCGGCGGCACGGCCUGGGGGUACCGACAGCUGGCAAGGAGCGGCGGCGGCGGCGAAAGCGAAGGCGUGCGGGUGUGGAUGCGGAUGCGGGGCCGGGCCCGGCGGCGGUGCGCCGUAGGCCGGGAGAGCCAACCCGUAGCCAUAGCCGUAGGCUCCGUAAGCGGCGAAACCCGGCAGAAAGGCGCCGGGGUCCCCCGCCGCCGCAGCCCCGCCACGCAGCAGCAGCUCCGGGUGAGGGUGCGUGUGUGGAUGCGGCGGCGGCAGCGGCUGCCGCUUGAAGCGCUUACGGCGCCGCAGGAAGCUGCCGUUGUCGAACAUGUCGGCCGACUCCGGGUCCAGCGUCCAGUAGUUGCCCUUGCCCGGGUUGCCCGGCUCGCGGGGAAUCUUGACGAAGCAGUCGUUGAGCGAGAGGUUGUGGCGGAUGCUGUUCUGCCAGGCGGGGAACUUCUCCCGGUAGUAGGGGAAGCGGCCGCUGAUGAACUCGCAGAUUUCACUCAGCGUCAGGCGCUUCUUGGGGCUCUGCAGGAUGGCCAUGGUGAUGAGCGCGAUGUACGAGUAGGGAGGCUUCACCAGCGGGCUCCGCGUCGCCGCGCCCCCCGACGGCGGUCCCGGCCCGGGGGCCCCGCCGCGCCCCGGGCCGCCGCCGCGCCUGGCCGGGGCUUCCCGCUGCGGCCGCCGCCCCCCGGGGCGCUAGAGCGCGGGGCUCGCCGUCCGAGCAGCCGCCCGACUCCUCGUCCUCAGCUGCGUCCGCCUCGGCUUCCUCCGAGGGAGGCUCGGGGCCGUGCGGGAGCACGUCCCGGGGGGCGCGGGGCCCGGAGCGGGCAGGGAGCUCCCCCCCACCGCUGCCGCCGCCGCCGCCGCCGCCCACUACGUCUAUGUCUGCGUCGGCCUCGGACAGCGCGGCCGGGGAGCUCUCGGAGGACAUGAUCUCGCAGCAGCAGCUGCCCAGGGUCAUGGUGCCGCCGCCGCCGCCGCUCUCCGGCUCCGCUCCGGCCGCGGCUCGGGCUCCGCCGCGCUGCCUCUGGGGCGAGUGUGUUUUGCGCGCGGGCGGGGAGGGGGCGGGGGACUGAGGCGGACAGGGAGGGGUGUCCCCCAGCUUCGCAGCGCCCCCUCGUGGCCCGACUCGGCCGCUCUCACCUCUCGGGGAGUACCCGACCCGCGGCUCUCUCCGCUGCCCCGGGAGCCCGAGCGGGGGCCUGCACGCCGGGGCGCGGGCGGAAGGAGCUGAGGCCUCCCCUCACCCUGGCCGGUCUCGGCCCCAGUCCCCCCGGGGCGGGGGGGGGUCCGGGUAUUAGUCCCUCCCGCCCAGCGGCUGCCCAAGGCGGAAGAGCGCGAGCCCGGGGCGGAGCUCCCUCAGCGGGGUGGGGCGGGGCGGGAGGGGGCGGGCGGAGUGUCUCCGCGGAGGGGCCCGGCGGGAACAAACAGCCGCCGCGGCGGGAGCUCGGCUCCGGUGCCGGAGGCGAGUCCUCCUCUUCCCCGCAGAUCCCGCAAACCUUUCGCUCCCUGGAGCCGCUGCCUUCAGUGCGUUCGGCCCCUGGAUGUUAAGGUUCACGCGGGUGCCAGCGGGAGCCGGGAGAAGGAGCGACAGCGCCCACCCAUCGUCGCCCCAAGGCAGAGACAGCGCCCGGGCCACCAAGGCCGAAGCGCAGUCGGAGCUGGAGCGGGAGCCUGAGACGCCCAGACCAGCGCCGCCCGAGGAGAGCGGGGCCCGCCGCCGCCCGAGCGGCUUCCGGCCCAAGGGGAGACGCACUUGAGUGAUCGCGAGGAGCGAACUUGGCACUCUCAGCCUCGGGCCUCGGAGAGGAAGAUUAGCCCUGAGCUAACUACUGCCAAUCUGCCUCUUUUUGCUGAGGAAGACUGGCCCUGAGCUAACAUCCGUGCCCAUCUUCCUAUACUUUAUACGUGGGACGCCUACCACAGCAUGGCUUGCCAAGCAGUGUCAUGUCUGCGCCUGGGAUCCGAACCGGCGAACCCCAGGCCACUGACGCAGAACAUUCGCACUUAACUGCUGCACCACCGGGCCAGCCCUCCACUGUGUUUUUUUAAGGGGGAAAAUAAUGUAUAUUUGUUUUGGUUUGUAUAUGCAACAAAAAUAUGUAGGAGGAUGAAUAAAAACUGAACAACUGAUUAUCUGUUGAGGCAAAUGGGGAACAAAAAUGGAGGUGAGACUUUUCACUGAAUACUUUUUUUAUAUGGAAUCAUUCCAAUAAAUAAGGCUGAGUGUGCAGAACUGAAGAGUAAUGAAGGCCAUUACUACAUGCUGGGCACUUCCUAUGGGCUCCAACAUGAACUGUGGUUGGUGGCUGUAGUUUUGAAGGUGGGACGUGAAAGCAAGACUUACUGGGUGCCUCUGAGCAUUGGCCUGCCACCCGUCAGGCAGGGAGGUAGGUGGGUCUGGUAGCUAGGACCCCAGACUUUCUACCUUGCCCACCUUCUCUUCUGUCCCCAUCCUUCUGUCUUUGCCUCCUCUCUUGGUCCCACCGAAAUUGCUCUGGAAGUAGUCAGACUUUUUCAGUUUGACAAGCUAGACAAGGAUUAGGAUGGAGGAAAGGGUUUUAUAGAAACUAAAAUAGCAGGCUCUCCCCUCCCUUCCUUGAAAACCCCAAACCAGAGCUCACCUCCUCCAGGAAGCCUUCCUUGUGAGGCCCACCAAGCCCCAACCCCUCCACAUUGCAGGGAGAUGGUCUGAUGCCCAAGGUGGGGCCUGCGUCCUCCUCAAGCCAGGCCUAGGCCUCUUGUCUCUAACUCUCCUCCACCCCUUAAACCUCAACUCCAGCCUCCAGACAAGGGGUAUCUCAGGCCAAAGCCUGGCAUGCCCGCCCUGGCCAGGCUGCCCAGGGAGGGAUACAGUGGACAGAGAAGGGGCAGGGCCUGUCCUGGGAAGCCCACAGCCAGGCAGGGGAGAAUAUCCUCCCCCAGCAUCACUACGGCUGUAGCAGUUACAAAGGCCGUCCCACCCAGGCAGAGAGAGCAGGGCACAUUCUCGCUAGUUCAGAGGAGCCUGAGGCUGGGGUCGGGGCAGAGGCUUGAACUGGUGAGUGGCCACAGUGACCUGAGAGCUCCCUGAUCUUGUCAGCACUCUGCACUAUAUUGUCACCCACCAAUAGUUGACUCCUUUGCGCAAGGCCAUCAUCUGAUUCCUCUGAGUCCUCGCUGAGGUGGGGCGCACAGUCACAGAGCCUGGAGAGAGCUGUAAGUUGCUGUGACAGAGGAAGAAGGAAGGCCUUGCCUGAGUGUUAGAGUAGACCUCAGGUUUCCUGACACCCACCCAGCACACUUUCCGCUAUUUCCUUCUUACGGAGUGGAUCAAUUCUCUGCAGCUAGAACCACCUACCACACUCCCAUUCCAAGCCCCUCUAAGUGGGCCACUACCAAGGGCUGCGAAGAAGAAUGGAGGAGGAUGGAAGAUCUGGGAGGGCUUCCCAGGGGAGGUGGGAACUGCAGCCAGCUUUCCUCUUCCACACCAAACAAUUGGGUUCCCCCUGGAGCAAGUGCCUCUCUGCCACCAGAAGCCACCCCAGCCGCAAACAGCGUCCAAAUGGAUCCUGGCUUCAUUCCACUGCUUUCCUGCUCAAAUCAGGUGCAUACAAGGUGGCCAAUAGGUGGCGCUUUUGUCUCCACAAAAUUGGUGAGGGGAGAGGGAGGAGGGGGCAGGAGUACAGGGAAAGGAGGGGAAGAGGGAGCGUGGAAGGGGGAAGAAGUGGAAAACUGGAAAAAAAAAAAAAAGGAAACCAAACCUAUCACUUGGCUUCGAAAAGUACCUUUCAAGAUCAGGACUGUGGGUGUGAUGGAUGGGGCAGGGGAGAAUAUGGUGUGAACUGAGGAAUUUUUUUGGUGCCUGGGGCUUUUGAUCCAAGUUUCCACUGCCACUUGCCUAUUCCACAGAGGCAGAGAAUGACUUUGGAGUCAGGCGGACCUAGAGUCAAGUUCUGAGUGGGUCACUUUGCAGCUUGACCUGGGUAAGUCACUUAACCUUUAUAAGCCCCAAUUUCAUCAUCUAUAAAGUGGAGCUGUUAAUUCUAAUAAUGCCACCCUGCGUUCCAGGAAUAAGCUGUGUUUGAUCGUGCAUUGUUCCGAUGCAGUACCGGAUUCGGUCUGCUGAUAUUUCAUUGAGGAUUUCUGCAUCUUCCUUCAUGUGUGCGAAUGGCUCUAUUUUGCGUGCUCACGCCUUCUGUAUUGGGUUUUUCAUAAGGUGAUUAAGUAGAUAGAAUUGGGAUGACUUCUGUUUUUUCUGUGUUCUGGAACAAUUUAUGUAACUAGAAAAAUAGGUUCCUUGAUGGUUUGACAGAAUUCACAAGUAAGACCAGCCAGCCGAGGUGCUCCCUGGCGGGAGCAAUGAAGGAACCAUCUCUGGCAGUGUUUUCAUUUCUUCUGGACUAAGAGGUCUAUUGAGAUUGGUUACUCCUUAAAUCAGUCAAGCCCCACCAGAGUGCCUACCAGCCAAAUGACCAUCCUCAAGCUUUCAGGGUCAGCAUGAGGCUAUAAUUAGAUGGGAAAGUUUGUAACCUCUCUGGAAUAGGAGGAUUUGUUUCUAUUCUUUUGUGGCUACUUUCCUUUGUCACCACCUCUACUUCCACCAAGUCACCCUCCUUUCCCGCCUGGAUACAGCAGUAGCCUUUUCAUUGGUCUCCCCACCCCACCCCACAUCCCCUCUAAUGGCAUGUUUGGGGCUAUGAAAUUUCCUCUGAGCACAAGUUUGACUACAUCCUAUGGAUUUUAAUGUGUGCUGUUCUCACUUUUAUUAAUUUAUAAAUAAUCUGUACUUUUAAUUUUCCUCUAACCUAAGAGUUAGUUAGAUAAGCAUUUUUAAAUCUUCAAGUGGUUAAUUCAAAUUGUGGUCUAAGAACAUAUUCUUAUACAUGUAGGAAUUUAUGAACAUUUUUGAAUGUUGUGUUUUCAUUUCAAUAAUAAUCUUAAGCACAUUUAUAUAAGCAUAUUCUGGACCACUUAGAAGACCUCUUGAUAUCAUGAGUAUCAGAGAUCUGGUAUUUAGAGUCUUCAUUUGCAUUUAUUAUCAAGUAGUGCUAUUUUAAUCUUGAGAUGAGGCAAAAAACAGUGUAGACUUUAUAAAUACAUGCUGCGUUUGGGCCAGUUGGAGGCAUGGCCUGCUAUAUGAAGAAAUGUUUGCAGUUCAUUCAAAAGAAAAAGAUGGUGAGUCAAUUUAAUGUCACAUGGCUCAAGGCAAGCCAAACCCAAAAGACCUCAGGGCCACACUCAUGUGCAAGUAAUUUAGUUUCAGCAAGACAAUAUCUUCUUUUACAUUUGAUUAAUGUUAUGGGUUUGAAUUUUUAUUUUGUAGUUCUGUUUGAAUUUAAUUUAUAUAAAAAUUGUUUUACAGUUACAUAAAAGAUACAUGUCUAAGGAUUUUAUACCUGUUAAUAAAAAAUUAAGUCAAUACUGGGGGUCCACAGGACUUUUUUCCUUUAAAAGGAAACCACUUUAGCCUCCUGUAUCUUGCAAAAUGCUCCCCCUCCCUCAUACUUCUAGGAUCUUCCGAAGAAGGACCUCACCUGGGCUUAAAACCACGCCAGUCACUACAGCAGAGGGUUCUCCACGUUGUGCAUUUGUCCUUCUGCCUUCCCAGAUGUGCAAAAUUUUCCCCCAAAUUUACCUCGACUGAAACAAAGAAACAAAGCAAGAGAAAGGAAGAUAUGGAAGCAAAGGAUCCAAGACAGGAGAGAGAUGGAGGGAAUUCCAAAAGAAAGAGUGAGUGAAAAUUUCAGGUCCACAUCUGUGCAGCAGACACGGAGAGCAAUCAGCCCAGACCGGAGCUGGAGGACAGCGGGCUCUGGGAGAGAUGCCCCCGGGAAAGGAAAAACACAGCAACCAAAAGCAAUGACAGAUUUCCUGCAUCUACCAAAGUGUCACAAUUCUUGGGGCACUCUACCACACAUAGCUUUCCAGACAAUGGACUCUGUAAGGGCAAGAACAGUCUCAGGUUUGUAUCUGCACUGACCUCAGAGCCCAGCACACACCUGGCACACGGUACGCCCUCGAUGCUGUGGAAUAGGGAAAAUUAAAGAGGC